This 72-nucleotide transfer RNA is filed under the name Pectinophora gossypiella (pink bollworm). Its description in RNAcentral is "transfer RNA methionine (anticodon CAU)". It matches the Rfam family "tRNA". From Rfam's summary of the family: Transfer RNA (tRNA) molecules are approximately 80 nucleotides in length. Their secondary structure includes four short double-helical elements and three loops (D, anti-codon, and T loops). Lineage: Eukaryota; Metazoa; Arthropoda; Insecta; Lepidoptera; Gelechiidae. The record is from RNAcentral.
GUCUCCGUGGUCCAGUGGUUGAGCAUUGGGCUCAUAAUCCGGAGGUCCCGGGUUCGAAUCCCGGUGGGGACA